RNAcentral lists this ribosomal RNA (225 nucleotides) under uncultured bacterium. Its description in RNAcentral is "partial 16S ribosomal RNA". It matches the Rfam family "Bacterial small subunit ribosomal RNA", at positions 123 to 334 of the family's 1533-position model. The record is from RNAcentral.
AAUCUACCCAGUAAUCCGGGAUAACAUCUCGAAAGAGAUGCUAAUACCUGAUAAGCCCACGAUCUCUUCGGAGAACGAGGGAAAAGGUGGGGACCUUCGGGCCUGCCGUUGCUGGAUGAGUCCGCGGCCCAUUAGCUAGUUGGUAGGGUAAUGGCCUACCAAGGCUACGAUGGGUAGCUGGCCUGAGAGGAUGAUCAGCCACACUGGAACUGAGACACGGUCCAG